This 316-nucleotide ribosomal RNA is filed under the name uncultured Prevotella sp. RNAcentral's name for it is "bacterial SSU rRNA". It matches the Rfam family "Bacterial small subunit ribosomal RNA", at positions 32 to 339 of the family's 1533-position model. Lineage: Bacteria; Pseudomonadati; Bacteroidota; Bacteroidia; Bacteroidales; Prevotellaceae. The record is from RNAcentral.
GACGCUAGCUACAGGCUUAACACAUGCAAGUCGAGGGGCAGCAUGCAGGUAGCUUGCUAUCUGUGAUGGCGACCGGCGCACGGGUGAGUAACGCGUAUCCAACCUUCCCCUUAGUAGGGAAUAGCCCGGCGAAAGUCGGAUUAAUGCCCUAUGUUGUAUUUUGAGGACAUCUGACGAAUACCAAAGAUUCAUCGCUAUGGGAUGGGGAUGCGUCUGAUUAGCUUGUUGGCGGGGUAACGGCCCACCAAGGCUACGAUCAGUAGGGGUUCUGAGAGGAAGGUCCCCCACAUUGGUACUGAGACACGGACCAAACUCC